GCAUUUUGCACUUCUCUAGAGUCUUGCGCAAAUAUUUUCAUCACAGUAUCUUUUUAUCACAGUGAUUUUCCUCACACUACCAGUCGUUACCAUAGAAAUAUUGUUUUUGUUUGUUGAUUUUUAUUUCUUGUAAAGUCGAAACAGUUGGAAACCGUUCAAAGUCAGAUAAGUUGGAAUCUGUUGUAAUGCCGGCACAGUCAAAUUGAGGAGUCAAAUCCUGCUUCCAAACAGAGCCAAAAAGGAAUUUAUUCUGUGACUUCCCAGCAGCGUUGAUAACUCCUGUAAAGCUUUACCGGACAUGUAACGGAUUGACAAAAACAAGCUAUUAGCUAAUGACCACAUCAUUGCGUCUACCACUGGAAGCAGUCGGGAUUUUAACAAUUGUGUAAGAUGAUCAUUUCCAACGUUGUUUUGAAAUAAAUGCUAAUUCAUCAACAAUAGUUUA
Molecule: long non-coding RNA, 445 nt
Organism: Culex pipiens pallens (northern house mosquito)
Lineage: Eukaryota; Metazoa; Arthropoda; Insecta; Diptera; Culicidae
Exons: 2
Source: RefSeq, a predicted model, not a curated record